CUCUUUGGAAAACAUAAACUCACUCCACAUGAGACAGUCACCAGCAGAUCAAUGUCUACUGAUUAAAGAAGCUUUCCUGGAUUCCAAUAUAAAGCAUCAUGUUGGUCACAGUCUAGAGCCUGGUGACUGGAUAUUCUGGGAGCAUCAUCAGAGAAAGACAAUGGAGAGGGCCUUAUCAAGUGCUCCUAACCACUGACACUGCUGCAGAACUAAAAGGCAUUUAACCUUGAAGAUACAGCUUACAGCUAAAUAAAACUUCCCUGUCAUUUGGUCCUGUACAAGCCCUGGAGGCCUCCAAAACAAACUGACAAGGGAGAGAAGCAAUCAACACCUGAGGCAGACAGCUUUCCCCAGAUGGCCAGACCAGGCCUGUAUACCUUUCACUUGUGGUUGCUUCUUAUCUUAUUUUCUGUGUCUCUUUCUUAGAAAGACAAUACUCUCAUCUGCAUCUCCCAAUCUAUUACAAAAGGGGGAAAUCUUUCUAACUGUUGGGUUUGUCAUGAGACCCCUCCUUCUGUACGUGAAUCUAGAGAAUGCUUAAUUACCACUUAAUUACCAGUCUCUCUGCCAUUCCUCUUGUGCUAAGAUUCUAAAACUUCUUGCCUAAUCAAUUGAACCCACUGGCUUAAAAUGUAGCAUUAGUAACCAUUGUAAAUACCUCUUGCUGAAUUUAGCUAAACACCUCUGGCAAGGUAGAGAGAGAACUAGACAGAAUUUGAGCGCAAGUCAAAUGGUUAAAUGCACUGCCAACAGACAUCCCAUAGUUCUUUGAUUUCUUUAGCUGG
RNAcentral lists this long non-coding RNA (785 nucleotides) under Equus caballus (horse). RNAcentral describes it as "lncRNA (ENSECAG00000057930.1)". The record is from RNAcentral. Lineage: Eukaryota; Metazoa; Chordata; Mammalia; Perissodactyla; Equidae.